Molecule: non-coding RNA, 179 nt
Organism: Phasianus colchicus (ring-necked pheasant)
Lineage: Eukaryota; Metazoa; Chordata; Aves; Galliformes; Phasianidae
Source: RefSeq, a predicted model, not a curated record
UCCUCACCCGCUGUCACACUGAGGCCGUGAUGAACAACUUCUCCCGGCCGCCUGGACCCACAGACAGUGAGACGUGGAAGAGAAUAAGAGAGUUCUGCCUUCAACGGUGGAGCCAGUAGAAGAAAAAGGAAGAAAAAGAAAAGGAAACGAAAGGAAAAAGAGAAAAAGAAAGGAGAGAA